Cataglyphis hispanica is the source of this 945-nucleotide long non-coding RNA. RefSeq lists it as uncharacterized. Lineage: Eukaryota; Metazoa; Arthropoda; Insecta; Hymenoptera; Formicidae. The record is from RefSeq and is a predicted model, not a curated record. The transcript is spliced from 3 exons.
CGGGGAACCAUUUGCCGACGAAAACCACGACCGGUCGACCUUGUCGGUCCACGCCGCUCUGGUAGAGACAACCAAUUCCCGAGACCUCGGUCAAGUCCUCCGUCUUCGCCCUCCUGAGGAGCCUUUCGUACCUAAAACCAAGACCCUUUGGGGACAGAAUAUAUAAGCAAUCUCAGAAUCUACAUUUAUAUAUGUGAAACACAAGUGAAAUGUAAUCUGAAAAAAGGAUGUUCAAUGGACUCUGCUGCGAAAGCUGUGAGCAACAUAAAGCAUUAAUGUAAUGGUGACAGCAAGAUAAGCGAAGUUAUGAAGGCGAACAUCAACGGAAAGUAUGCGUUUAACGACCCUACGUCUAAUAACUUUACAGCCGGCCGAUAACACUGCUGAGGAUGAAGGGUCAAAGCCGUUCGAUAAAUUCAACUUUAAAAAUAGAUCCAAACUACACAUCGUACAUAAUCAAUCGCACCUGCGACGAGCUUGCGAUAAAAUCGCUGCCGUAUAAGAGUCAUCGCCAACGCGAGAUGGCUUAAUAGAAUAACGGCACACGUCCUUCGAUCUUGCCGGACAAUUGACAUCUCGGACGAAUGCACCGGCGAAGCCCCGUUCCGUUCAAUAUCCGUUACAUAUUCUGUGUGACACGAGGGGCUUCCGAACAAAUCCUUUGUGCGCGCGUAGUUGCCAGCGAGGUGAAAAGUUCGGUAGAAAAAAAAAAUCUGAUAUGAAUCGACGUAAUCGACAUGGCUGUUUUCACAAAGGCGUGCAGGUAGUGCCUUCGUUAUUGUUUAAACCGCGAAUGAUCGUAAAACGUGCACGCUGUACGCGAUUGUUUACGGAAAAUAUUAAAUAAUUAAAAUGACCAAGAUCUUUCAUUGCAAUUAUAUUACAAUGUUUUAUGACAUCGGAUGCGAGAAAUCGGGCGAAUUUUUACUCCAAAAUAAAUCAGUU